ACCGAACUAGCACCAAUAAUAAAUCUCACGUAGCAAAAAUAGAUUGUGCCAAGAUAACGCAUUGACAUAGUCUCAUAAUGGAUUACAACUACUAACCAUGAUACCAGCGCGUGCCGAGCAGCACAACCGUGUGUGCGCACACACAGAGGGCCCUCGGUUUCGUCACGACACCACAGGUUUUAGCCAUAAUGUCAUUACCAGACGUAACCAAUAAGAAAUCUCGCGCGAUACAAAUGAAUUGAACAAGGGUGACAAUAUACAAGGAGAUACUCCACCUGUAAGAAUGGUUACAAGUAGAGAGCCAAAUAGAUUAUGGCCCAAGGAAAUGAACAAAACAUGGCCAUAACCUAAACUUGAUGAAAGGAGUACGAUGGGAGACUGUUAAUUCAGCCCCAAGCAUAUUUCUAUGCCCAUCAUAGAGAUUACAAGGUCAAGGAUGAGUAUCUGAUUAGAUACGGAGGUAAAACAAUCAUAAGAUUAAGUUGGUAGGCCUUCAAUAGAGAUGGGGAAUCCAAAGGCAUCAAACUUUAAGAAAAUGGUCGGACAAGCUUUUCCUAGGUUAGGUUAAUAAGGCGACAAGAUGAUCCACAAGGAGAGGCCGAAUACAAUAGGGACCUCAACCUGCAUCAACUGAACAAGGGAAUGGUUCUAAAAGGAGACAUGACUUGAGAUCCUUUUUUUUAAGCUUAGGUACAUUUUAUGUCCAAUAAGGAAAUUGUCUAAGCAUUCAUUUACAUGAUUUUAGUCAAGGAGGGAUAAUGGU
RNAcentral lists this long non-coding RNA (763 nucleotides) under Zea mays. Its description in RNAcentral is "drought responsive lncRNA". Lineage: Eukaryota; Viridiplantae; Streptophyta; Magnoliopsida; Poales; Poaceae. The record is from RNAcentral.